GACGAACGCUGGCGGCGUGCUUAACACAUGCAAGUCGAACGGUGAAGCCUCUUCCUCCUUGGGGGGUGUGGGUGCGUGGCGAACGGGCGAGUAACACGUGAGUAACCUGCCCCCUUCUUAUGGAUAACCAAAUGAAAGUGUGGCUAACAAGGGAUCUUCUGGGUCUGUCGCAUGAUGCGUCUGGGGAAGAUAUUGUUCCGGUGGGGGAUGAGCUGGCGGCCUAUCAGCUUGUUGGUGGGGUGAUGGUCUACUAAGGCGGUGACGGGUGGCCGGCCUGAGAGGGUGGACGAUCGCAAUGGGACUGAUACACGGCCGAGAAUACUACUGGGGGCGGCAGUAGGGGGGAUUGCUGAACGAUCGCAGGCCUGAUGCUGCGGCGCCGCGUGAUGGAUGGUGGCGUUCGGGGUGUGAUCCUCUUUCGCCAGUGAAGCAGGCCUGCCUCGGUUGUGGGUGGGUUGACGGUAGCUGGAGAAGAAGCGCCGGCUAACUACGUG
Molecule: ribosomal RNA, 494 nt
Filed under: uncultured bacterium
Lineage: Bacteria
Description: partial 16S ribosomal RNA
Rfam family: Bacterial small subunit ribosomal RNA
Source: RNAcentral